This 46-nucleotide non-coding RNA is filed under the name Trichobilharzia regenti. The record is from RNAcentral. Lineage: Eukaryota; Metazoa; Platyhelminthes; Trematoda; Strigeidida; Schistosomatidae.
GUUCUGAUGAAGAGUCCCAAACUAGGACGAAACAACUGUCCAGUAC